Molecule: non-coding RNA, 444 nt
Organism: Salvelinus sp. IW2-2015
Lineage: Eukaryota; Metazoa; Chordata; Actinopteri; Salmoniformes; Salmonidae
Source: RefSeq, a predicted model, not a curated record
UAACUCAUUAAAACAAUAGUGAAUGGAACAUAAUCAAUCAAUCAAUAAAUAGUGUAUCAAGAAGUUAUGCAAAGUGUAAUUUUACAUCCUGGCCAAUUCUAAACUGUCAAUAUUGUACAAUAUAGCGUUCAGUGUUGACAGUACCUAACUAACCACCUAUUUUCCCCCAAUAACUCUCUCAGGUGAAGGACAUCUCACUGGAGGCCACAGGAACUUUGUGAAGCCAGCGGGACAUAAUACAUGGAGGAUGACCAACCAAUCACUGUUGAUGAGGGGAGUGGAACUCAACCCAGCACUUUAUUGUGAUAGAGGAUGCAGAUACAGAGGCUGCAAGUCCUGGAGGAUCGUCCCUGGUCAAGKAGGAGAGGACUGAAGAAGAGGACCAACGACACAGCAUCACAGAGGAGGAGGAGGGUCCAGAGGGGCUGCUAGUGAAGGAGGAGG